This 250-nucleotide ribosomal RNA is filed under the name uncultured bacterium. Its description in RNAcentral is "partial 16S ribosomal RNA". It matches the Rfam family "Bacterial small subunit ribosomal RNA", at positions 525 to 774 of the family's 1533-position model. The record is from RNAcentral.
ACGGAGGGGGCUAGCGUUGUUCGGAAAUACUGGGCGUAAAGCGCACGUAGGCGGCUCAGCAAGUCAGGGGUGAAAUCCCGGGGCUCAACCCCGGAACUGCCCUUGAGACUGCUAGGCUAGAAUCUUGGAGAGGUCAGUGGAAUUCCGAGUGUAGAGGUGAAAUUCGUAGAUAUUCGGAAGAACACCAGUGGCGAAGGCGUCUGACUGGACAAGUAUUGACGCUGUGGUGCGAAAGCGUGGGGAGCAAACA